UACGUAGGGCGCGAGCGUUGUCCGGAAUUAUUGGGCGUAAAGAGCUCGUAGGCGGUCUGUCGCGUCGGUCGUGAAAACUUGGGGCUUAACCCUGAGCUUGCGGUCGAUACGGGCAUGACUGGAGUUCGGCAGGGGAGACUGGAAUUCCUGGUGUAGCGGUGAAAUGCGCAGAUAUCAGGAGGAACACCGGUGGCGAAGGCGGGUCUCUGGGCCGAUACUGACGCUGAGGAGCGAAAGCGUGGGGAGCGAACAGG
This 254-nucleotide ribosomal RNA is filed under the name uncultured bacterium. Its description in RNAcentral is "partial 16S ribosomal RNA". It matches the Rfam family "Bacterial small subunit ribosomal RNA", at positions 524 to 776 of the family's 1533-position model. The record is from RNAcentral.